UAGUGGCGAACGGGUGAGUAACACGUGGGUAAUCUGCCCUGCACUCUGGGAUAAGCCUUGGAAACGAGGUCUAAUACCGGAUAUCACCUCUCACCGCAUGGUGGGUGGUUGAAAGUUCCGGCGGUGCAGGAUGAACCCGCGGCCUAUCAGCUUGUUGGUGGGGUAAUGGCCUACCAAGGCGACGACGGGUAGCCGGCCUGAGAGGGUGACCGGCCACACUGGGACUGAGACACGGCCCAGACUCCUACGGGAGGCAGCAGUGGGGAAUAUUGCACAAUGGGCGAAAGCCUGAUGCAGCGACGCCGCGUGAGGGAUGACGGCCUUCGGGUUGUAAACCUCUUUCGCCAGGGACGAAGCGCAAGUGACGGUACCUGGAUAAGAAGCACCGGCUAACUACGUGCCAGCAGCCGCGGUAAUACGUAGGGUGCGAGCGUUGUCCGGAUUUAUUGGGCGUAAAGAGCUCGUAGGCGGUUUGUCGCGUCGGCUGUGAAAUCUGGAGGCUUAACCUUCAGCGUGCAGUCGAUACGGGCAGACUUGAGUUCGGUAGGGGAGACUGGAAUUCCU
Molecule: ribosomal RNA, 564 nt
Filed under: Amycolatopsis sp. 340G10
Lineage: Bacteria; Bacillati; Actinomycetota; Actinomycetes; Pseudonocardiales; Pseudonocardiaceae
Description: bacterial SSU rRNA
Rfam family: Bacterial small subunit ribosomal RNA
Source: RNAcentral